CACUGUAGAUUUAGAAUACUUUAGAAGAAAACUUUGGGAAGAGAACAUGUUUUAUAAAUUUUAUAAGAAUAUUUUCAAAGUAUUCUAGAUUAUUAUACAUAUUUUGCUGCAAUACUGGACGAAAAUAUAUUAAAAUUACAUUAAAGUUUUUAAUUUUUUAGGUCCCUAAGGUUGACUACAAAUCAAAAUCAGAAUUGAAAUUGGAGUUCCCACUGUGGCACAAUGAGUUUGGUGGUGUCUCUAGAGUGCCAGGAUGAUCCCUGGCCCAGCACAGUGGGUUAAAGGAUCCAGUGUUGUCGCAGAUGUGGCUUGGAUCUGACCCCUGGCCCUGGAACUCCGUAUGCUGAGGGGUGGCUGAAAAAGAAGCAAAAUAAAACAAACAAAUAAAAUCAAAAUAGAAAUCUAAAUGUAAACUCAAAAUAGAAACUAGCAAAUAGAAAAUCUUCAAAAAGGCUGUUUUCUUAAAAUUUUAAAAUUCGGAGUUAAAUUGAGCACAUACAUGUUAGGCAUAAUCCACACAAAACUUGAAAAUAAGAUUUUAUAAAUUCUGUACUUAUUGAAGCUUUAAUUAUGAACAAAAUAAGAAAAUGAACAAGACAAUUGUUCUAGUCCAAUAGAGAACUUGAAUUUGGAUACAUCAUCAGAUGAAAUUCUUGCGACUGAAGAAUAUUCAAGAAUUCAUAUUCAAGAAUAGUCAACAUUCUUCAUUAAAUGACAUGCAAAGAUGCUUAUUCAUAUCAACAUCACAACCCAGAAACAUCAAAUGCAACUCUGUGUGUUCCUUUAAAUGAUGAAGAAACAACAUGCAUGCCCUGCCAAUGGGAUGAGAAAGAUGAACUCUCUAGAGCUUUACUGUUUAUUAGAUGAUUAUCUUGGAAAAUAGCCCAUGUGGCUUUUUGACAGCGUGAGAAUGUUUCUUGCAAAACAUAUUCUGAUGCAAGUAAAUUAUUUUGAUUUUCCAUUGCCUGAAUAUCACAGAAAAUUUAACACUUCAUUUUAUAUCAAAAUUCAUUCAACUGGAAAAAAAAACUGUGGGAACUGGCUUUUAUAUUCUAAUUUCAAAGACAAAGUACUUUGUUCUUACUGUCAAAUGCAUCACAACCAGGUUUCAAGGUUAGCUUCAAAAUGAAGAUAUUUGCUGCUAAAAAAGCUUGGAGUCUCAAAAGACCACAAAAUGUCAAAUGUACAUACAUAUACAAACACAAAACAAAAUGUGCGAUUUCUAGAGCUUUUGAAACUUUAAACAACAAAAAUUGAUAGUAUUUGGCAAACAAAGUAACACUGAUAUAAGAUGUUAGCAUGAUGUGUUAAAAGAAUAAUAUAUAUUCUCUAUUUAGCCCAAGAUUUUCACAGCACAAACAGUAGAACAUUUACAGAGAGCAAUAGUAAAUUUCUAGUUUUAUUAGAAGUUAUUUAGCAAUUUGAUGCUAUGAUGAGUGAACAUGUAAGUGGAGUGAAAAAUGAAGAGGAAAUUCAAAAUAAGAGUUUAAAAGUCUGUACUUGUAAUAAUGUGGGAAAAUUAAUCAUCUCCCAAGUUAAAAAUCUAAUAAUACAAAUUCCAAUUGCACUGUAUAACAAACAAGUUCUUUUGAAAAAUAAUUUUUAUUGAACAUGUUUUCAAAUUACCCCUCCCCCCCAAAAACCCAACAAAAUUGAAAUUAAAGAUUGCUUAAUUUUUGUAUGUGUUGUAAAACAUGUAAGUUUGGAUUUUAGUGAAGAUACUUUAACAACUUUCUGUUUCUGUCUACACUGGCUGCUGUCCCUCCUUGUUCUCCGAGCGGACAGUACUCCUUUUGGAUCCUAGAUGCCAGUUAAAUAAAUUACAUUUUUGGGGGGUGGUUAAAGAAAUCUCACAAUAUUCAGUGUUAGACAUUGAGUUGAAAGAUGAGGCACAUCUAAGAUAAUGGCAUCAACAUAGUUGGUUUGAAAAACAAGUGCAUAAACUCGAAUUUUGGCCCAAAGUUGUGAUCAUUCUUUGUGCCACACAGUGCAUGAUUUGAAUUUGUCACUUGAAACUUCAGUCUGCUCUGUGUCAGUAGCUCAGUAGUGAAGACACUCUGUGGAACAACUAGAUCAAUAUACUAGGUAUUCUCUAGGUCUGCCUACCACGUAUAAGCUUACCAUUUCACUUAGAUACACAGAGAGAAUGUUAAAUACUGCGACAGCAACUCAAUUUCCUUUAAGCAAGAUACAUGAAGUACCCUAGAAAAGGAAUGCAAAAUAACAGACGAUUCCAAAGGGACAUCAAUCUUUGACAAAGAAAAGUGUUUGGUUAUUUGAUAUGAAGUGUUAUUUGCUACUAGUUAUGGUUAUUAUUUGAUGUGAAGUGUUAUUUGCUACUAAUUAUGUUAGCAAAAACUUACAGGGCAUUCAAACAGAUAUUUUUGAUUCGCUUAAAAAUAAUAGUAUAUAUUUUCUUUCAUUUUGAGAAAAAAAUUUGAUUGAAACUGCAUAGAAAAUAAACAACAAAAGUAACACUCCUAUAAAGGGAAAUGAGAAUGUUUGUUUCUCUAUGAAAAAGAUUCAUGUACCCAUAAUCUCUAAAUCUUUUUCUAUAGAGACUAUUUUCCAAACAAAUUAUAGAUUCAGGUAUAGUCUUGAAUGAAGAGUGUGGUCAAUGAAUUGAGUGAUCUGUUAUUGCUUCUUUUUUUAUUUUUUACUAAUAUUACAACAUUGACAUUUUUUUAAAAAGAAAACUUAAGUACUGUAUAGAUAUUGCCAUAAGAGACCAUGAAAGCUGUCUAAGUGGCAGUGACAUAUGAAAUGACAACAGUUUGUAAUAGAUCCUGUGAUUGUGAUAAUUUAUUAUAUGUAGCACCAUUAAGAUAAUUAAACAUCAUUUGCAAGUCAAUUAUACCUCAUUUUUUUUUUAAAGUUUGAGGAAUCAUAUGUAAAUUUCUUUUUUCAUUCUGAGUGUUGCUUUAAGAAUUGUAUUGACCAUUCCUGUUCACGCUACCUCAGGAGAGUAAAGUUGACCCAGACCGAAUCUAAUUGAAACUGAAAACUACAAUGACUCAAGUAACAUCAUGCAUUACUGUUGAGAGAAUACAAAAUAAUUCAUAUGAUAUCCUGCAUCCCUUUGAUACAAAUCUCUCUAUUACAUGCACCACUUCUCAUGGUGCAUCAAUUGUUUUCUGGGUGCUGGUCCGUGCCAAAGGAACACUAACUCCUCACGAGCGGGGACCGUGACUUUUUCAUGUUUGCUGCUCUGAUGUUUAGCUCAGAGCCUUGGGCCUAGAAGGUACUUCAACAUUUGUUGAAGGAAUGAAUGCAUUCACAAAUAGAUACACUUCUGACAGUUCCAGAAAUGCCAGGAUUCAUGUUACAUGUCAUCUAUCAUACAUAAUAUCAUAUAUUACCUAAUACUAGUAUUUUAUGUUGUCUUGUUCAGUACAAUUCUUUUCUAUCUUACUGUAUCAAAAAGAGCUUUACUUGCCCAUUGAUAUUGAAGUUAAACGCAGUUUACCUUCAUGUUCCUGCUAAAUGUUAACGAUAUGCAAACCCGAAGAAGUUCUGAGUCAAGUGCGGUAUUUCAGAACUUGGAUAGCCUUUUUCUAAUUGAAGUCUUAAAUGACAAAUAUAGCAAUGCGAAUCUUAAGUGCCAGUGAUACAAAAAGUCACAUAAAUAAAACAAAGUUUCUUGCUCCCUCUCUUUAUAUUCCAGGAGGUAACUACACUUAGCAGUUUGAGAGGUUUCCUUCUAGACAUCCAAUUAUUUUUGAUAUCUUUUUUUUUAACAAACACACACACAAACCCACAUACAGAUAAUUUCUUUCCUAUUAACUCAACAAAACAGAGUAAUAUUGGAGUUCCUGUUGUGGCGCAGUGGUUAACGAAUCCAACUAGGAACCAUGAGGUUUUGGGUUUGAUCCCUGCCCUUGCUCAGUGGGUUAAGGAUCCGGCAUUGCUGUGAGCUGUGGUAUAGGUCACAGAUGUGGCUCGGAUCUGGCGUUGCUGUGGCUCUGGCGUAGGCCGAUGCCUACAGCUCUGAUUCAACCCCUAACCUGGGAACCUCCACAUGCCUGAGGGAGCGGCCCUAGAAGAGGCAAAAAGAAAAAAAAAAAAAGAAAGAAAAAAACAGAGGUUUUUAACAUGUUCUCUUCAAGAUAUUCGGACCCUAGCAAAAUAUUUUAAGUUUAUUUUGAUUAUGCAAUUCUUAAUACUUCAUGAAAACAAGACUCAUUCAACUGAGUCUCUCACAGAGAUUUUCUCAUAUUUGUUUUCUUUAGACCAUCUCUUGAAGUUUGUCUUGUUCUUGAAAUUCCUGAUUAUCAAAGCUCAAGUCUCACUGUGAUGUCACUUGGGAAGUCCAGGCUUAUCCAGAUUUUCCAUGGACAGAAAUGGCCCUGGGGAUUUCAAAUCUGCCUCAUUUGGAAAAUUCAGAAAAUUACGUAGCUGUCACAUCAAGAAAACCUUUGAUUUGAAAGUUAAUCAGAAGUCAUUUAUUAACUUUUUUAUACAGUUUUUAAAAGGAACGUGUGUCUAAACAUCUACUUGAAAAAAACUACAAGGCUGAAAAUAACUUUUUCUCACUUAGUUUGGCAGAGAGUUAAGUCACAGUCAAAAAACUAGCAUAUUACUAAUUUAAUAUGAGAUAGUUUUAUUUAGAAGUUGUUUUCAGUAUCUUAUUUUUGCUCAAUUGAGGUCAAAUUAUAACUUCAAGCAAAAUUAUAGUUCUUUAACUCAGGAUUAUUUAGUCCAUUUUCAUUCACAUUAAACAAAGAUAGUUUUUCAGCUGUAUUUUAGGGUGUAGGGGAGAAAAAAAGGUUUUCCUCAGUCCUCUUAGGGCUCUUGGCUUGGUGUGAAAACUAAACUGACAAGACAGAUUAACAGUUAACACUUCUGAUUAAAUUUUUACAUGUACCUGGGAGCUUUCACAAGGGAAUG
RNAcentral lists this long non-coding RNA (4887 nucleotides) under Sus scrofa (pig). RNAcentral describes it as "lncRNA (ENSSSCG00055013895.1)". The record is from RNAcentral. Lineage: Eukaryota; Metazoa; Chordata; Mammalia; Artiodactyla; Suidae.